UGGGGAAUAUUGGACAAUGGGGGCAACCCUGAUCCAGCAAUGCCGCGUGUGUGAAGAAGGCCUGAGGGUUGUAAAGCACUUUCAGUGGGGAGGAGUUUAUAUUGGUUAAGAGCUGAUAUAAAGGACGUUACCCAGAGAAGAAGCACCGGCUAACUCCGUGCCAGCAGCCGCGGUAAUACGGAGGGUGCAAGCGUUAAUCGGAAUUACUGGGCGUAAAGGGUGCGUAGGUGGUUUAAUAAGUUAUCUGUGAAAGCCCUGGGCUUAACCUGGGAAUUGCAGAUAAGACUGUUAGACUGGAGUAUAGGAGAGGGUAGUGGAAUUUCCGGUGUAGCGGUGAAAUGCGUAGAGAUCGGAAGGAACACCAGUGGCGAAGGCGGCUACCUGGCCUGAUACUGACACUGAAGCACGAAAGCGUGGGGAGCAAACAGG
Molecule: ribosomal RNA, 429 nt
Filed under: uncultured bacterium
Lineage: Bacteria
Description: bacterial SSU rRNA
Rfam family: Bacterial small subunit ribosomal RNA
Source: RNAcentral